AUGCGGCAGACAAGGACGACGACGGCACCCACUCUGCUCCUUGGCAAAAUGUUGAUUGACUUCAUCCUCAACGUGGUCGGUUAUCUUUAGAACGAUAUUGGAGAGCCCGAUCAAGCCUAUUUUUUCCUCUGAUGAAGUGGCAGUUUGCAUACAUGGAAUUACAGAAAAAACUUGACUCGAUUUUGCAAUCUGGGCUAAAGCGUAUGGCAAGGUUACAUGUACAUUUCUCAAGUGGCUUACCAUUAGACGAAGAAGUAAUCAGUGAUGGGAUGAAGCUUUAUAUUUCAGACAACAAAGGGAUCUUGAUAGAAGGUUUUGAUGGUGUCGGCCCUGUGAAAUACUUUGAAAGAAUCGAAACAUGGCCAGGACGAGCCCCAAUACCGUUCCAAAGAUAACAUGCUUGCUUAAAUAUUUCCGAUUUGUGUAGCAUGUGUGUUGAUAAUAUGAUUUUCUCAGCUUCUGCAAAAGACGAACAAAUCAAAAGGGUGAUCAUCUCGGUGCCCACCAAACCUCAACAACCGAGUUUCAUGUCUAAUCUCGACGUUCAGCUUCCAUCUGCUUUG
This is a long non-coding RNA of Zea mays, 563 nucleotides long. RefSeq lists it as uncharacterized. NCBI's taxonomy places the organism in Eukaryota, Viridiplantae, Streptophyta, Magnoliopsida, Poales, Poaceae. The transcript has 3 exons. The record is from RefSeq and is a predicted model, not a curated record.